Molecule: ribosomal RNA, 849 nt
Filed under: Pochazia shantungensis
Lineage: Eukaryota; Metazoa; Arthropoda; Insecta; Hemiptera; Ricaniidae
Description: SSU rRNA
Rfam family: Eukaryotic small subunit ribosomal RNA
Source: RNAcentral
UUUUUGGCCCUCGUCCCCCACUGUAUGUUGUGUGCAUGGAAUAAUGGAAUAGGACCUCGGUUCUAUUUUGUUGGUUUUCGGAAUCUGAGGUAAUGAUCAAUGGGGACAGGCGGGGGCAUUCGUAUUGCGACGUUAGAGGUGAAAUUCUUGGAUCGUCGCAAGACGGACCGAAGCGAAAGCAUUUGCCAAGUAUGUUCUCGUCGAUCAAGAACGAAAGUUAGAGGUUCGAAGGCGAUCAGAUACCGCCCUAGUUCUAACCAUAAACUAUGCCUGCCAGCGAUCCGCCGAAGUUCCUCCGAUGACUCGGCGGGCAGCUUCCGGGAAACCAGAGCUUUUGGGUUCCGGGGGAAGUAUGGUUGCAAAGCUGAAACUUAAAGGAAUUGACGGAAGGGCACCACCAGGAGUGGAGCCUGCGGCUUAAUUUGACUCAACACGGGAAAACUCACCAGGCCCGGACACCGGAAGGAUUGACAGAUUGAGAGCUCUUUCUUGAUUCGGUGGGUGGUGGUGCAUGGCCGUUCUUAGUUGGUGGAGCGAUUUGUCUGGUUAAUUCCGAUAACGAACGAGACUCUAGCCUACUAACUAGGCGUACCCGGUAUCCACAAUCGUGCUACCGGCGAUCAAAUUUCUUCUUAGAGGGACAGGCGGCUUCUAGCCGCACGAGACUGAGCAAUAACAGGUCUGUGAUGCCCUUAGAUGUCCUGGGCCGCACGCGCGCUACACUGAAGGAAUCAGCGUGUCUUCCCUGUCCGAAAGGACCGGGUAAUCCGCUGAACCUCCUUUGUGCUAGGGAUUGGGGCUUGCAAUUGUUCCCCAUGAACGAGGAAUCCCAGAAGCGCGAUUAUUGGC